CUGGAUUCCUAUGGGGCAGUUAUUAAAGCUGAUCCUCCAGUUGCUGGAGUCUCAAUCCAUCACAGAAAAGACAACAGUAGUGUGGAUCUGAAGAUCUCCUCUGCUGCUGUCACUGACUCCGCUCUGUACUACUGUGCUCUGGAGCCCACAGUGAAAGGAAAUCCACUGCAUGCUGUACAAAAAGCUGUUUAAAUAAAACUGAAAAUGAGAGGUGGGGAUGACCGUUUAUGUUUUUUAUCACACAUAUAUUUCCUAUAAAGUUCUUAUAUUAGUAGAUCCUUAAGAAACUGUCAUACUGUGAGAAUGUUCUGUGGUUGAUUAUCACUUUUAUGAGGACAUGAAACGUUUUAUGCAUAACAUAAGGGAGCUCAACAAUUAAAUGAUUGUAUUCAGAAGAACAUCUCAAUAAAAGUGACUCAAAAUCAUAUUAGAUGGUACAUUUUAAAGAACACAGAAAACUUGACAAAAACAUGCUGUUUUGAGCUCCAUCAGAAGGGGGCAACAAUCUCUUUUUUUAUAAACAAAUGUUAAUAAAAAUAACUCAUUUUAAAGCACACAGUAAAGCAGCUGGAUAAAACAUGCUGUUCUGAUCUCCAACAGAGGGGGCAACAUUAUCUCACAAGCUGUUUUAUUUACACCAAACAAGCACCUGAUGUCUAUAAGAAACAGCUGAAAGCACAGAACAUGUUUCAUAUUUCUUUAACCCACACACACAUUAUUCAUACACAACAGAAGUUCACUCAGUCUCAGUGCUGUCAGUCAACCAUCAGCUGCUCUCAUAUUUUCAUUCAUUUCAUAAAACCACAUUCAGCAGAAUUUGGAGUUCAUAAUGAUUAUAUAAUGAAUCAAUUUAAAAAGUAUUAGAAACUAGAAAUCUGAUCUUUAUAGUGGACUUCAGUUAAGAUGGAGGAGAGGCAGAUGAUACUCAUAAUGUUCAUCACAGUUUCAGGCAUUUAUGCUGAUAGAAUUGGACCAAGAGAAGGAGACACUAAUAUAAUCAGAAAAGAAGGAGAGUCUGUGACACUGAGCUGCACAUAUGAAACAACCAGCAAUUAUAUUUAUCUCUUCUGGUACAGACAAUAUCCAAACAGAGAACCAGAAUAUAUACUGUAUAAAGGCGCUCGGUCGCGGAGCAGUGAUGAGGAUAUACCAGAUGGGUUUCAGUCAACUACAUCCCGGACAUUCACUGAACUUACUAUUGUAAAAGCAGCUCUGUCAGAUUCUGCUCUUUAUUACUGCGCACUUGAAGUAGCCCAGUGAUGCAAAGUACCAGAGAAGCUUUACAAAAACUCACAUGAAAUUAAUGCUUUGAAGAGUCUUUAAUCAAUCAGUAUCAAAACACAUCAUGUUUUUAUAAACCACAAACAGUGAAUGUGGUAACAGCUGUGAAUUUAGAAGGUUAAAAAGGUUGCAUAAGGGCAUGUGACUACAAUUCAUAUUGGGUGCCACUCCACCUGUAUCCACAGGAUACCUAUCUAAACAGGGUGUUGCUACUAGGGAUCUGUUGAAACAGUUCCUUCAACAAGCUUAUGCAAGAGCAAGUGGUAGCCCCUGUGUGACAGGCCAAGACUUAGUAUGAUUCUAGGCUCUGUAGCAUCCCUUUAAAUUAAUCUAUUAUUGAUUCCAGGCCUUGAGCUCUACCCUGGGCCCAGGAGUCUGGCCCUAACAGGUAAGCUUGGGUAUGUAGCCUAGGCAUUUGGUCGCAAGGGAAAAUGUCACAGACAGCUGUCUAAAGUCCCGGGUGCAACUCCCAUGUACUCCCCAAGGAAGGUGGUGUGGGUAUACUGUGGGAUGUGGGAAUCCCAAUUUCAUGAUGACUACACAUAAUCUAACCAUCCUGCUUAAUCUCAGAAGAAUUUGUUUUGGAAGAUUUCUUUCCUUUGUCCUCUCUUUUAGAGAUUUUAGAGUUUAGCUCUACACCAAUCAAACACACAUGAACCAGCUAAUCAAGGUCUUCAGGAUUAUUACAAAUAAAUAAAUAAUUGGCGGGUACGCUGAAACAGACUGGAAAUAGAAUUUGCAGGACAGUUCAUCUCCAGGAACAUAGGUGAAGACCUCUGGGUUUGAGUUGAUAUAGGCAGUUAAAGAUUAAGCCUUAUUUUUUUACGUUCCAACAAGAAAGAAUAAAGAAAAAGUAUUUGAGAGUGAAAGUUUUGUGUGGCAUUUUGAGUGAAAUUAUGCUCUAUAUUGAAAGAAUGAGUGGGAUAUAUAAAUACAUAAAGAUUAUCAAUGCUUAAUUAGUCCUUCAGCACACGUAUUCUACUCUUCAAUAGGCUCCACCACUAUUUUCAACGAUCUAUUUUAAUAUCUCACUAACAUGGAUGUUACACCCUUCACGACCAUGUCCUUCUGAGGGGGGUAUAACACUAGUACUGUAUGUUCUCUUAUGAAUUACAGAAGCUGGGCAGCUUUUAAAUUGUGUGUUACACAUGACACUAACCACACCCACAAUAUUAGUACACAAUAUACUGGAUGUCACCACAGAUUCAUUCACACUAUAAAACGAUAUUCAGUUACAGUUUUCUAAUUAUAUCAUUAAUAGAAAUACAUACUACAUCUGGACUGCCAACAUGGAGAAGCAGAUGCUGUUAAUGAUUCUCAUCGUAGUUACAGGUAAAUAAUAUUGAAUCCCACUAAACAUAGUUGUAAGCUGUACAAAUCUCAAUUUAAUGCAAAGCUAACCUCAUCUUGAUGUUUUUUA
RNAcentral lists this long non-coding RNA (2701 nucleotides) under Carassius auratus (goldfish). Its description in RNAcentral is "lncRNA (ENSCARG00000020696.1)". The record is from RNAcentral. Lineage: Eukaryota; Metazoa; Chordata; Actinopteri; Cypriniformes; Cyprinidae.